Molecule: ribosomal RNA, 529 nt
Filed under: Alphaproteobacteria bacterium
Lineage: Bacteria; Pseudomonadati; Pseudomonadota; Alphaproteobacteria
Description: bacterial SSU rRNA
Rfam family: Bacterial small subunit ribosomal RNA
Source: RNAcentral
AAACUUGAGAGUUUGAUCCUGGCUCAGAACGAACGCUGGCGGCAGGCCUAAAACAUGCAAGUCGAGCGCCCAGCAAUGGGAGCGGCGGACGGGUGAGUAACACGUGGGAACAUGCCUUUCGGUACGGAACAACUCAGGGAAACUUGAGCUAAUACCGUAUGCGCCCUAACGGGGAAAGAUUUAUCGCCGAAGGAUUGGCCCGCGUUGGAUUAGCUUGUUGGUGAGGUAACGGCUCACCAAGGCGACGAUCCAUAGCUGGUUUGAGAGAACGAUCAGCCACACUGGGACUGAGACACGGCCCAGACUCCUACGGGAGGCAGCAGUUGGGAAUCUUGGACAAUGGGGGAAACCCUGAUCCAGCCAUGCCGCGUGAGUGAUGAAGGCCUUAGGGUUGUAAAGCUCUUUCGCACGCGACGAUAAUGACGGUAGCGUGAGAAGAAGCCCCGGCUAACUUCGUGCCAGCAGCCGCGGUAAUACGAAGGGGGCUAGCGUUGUUCGGAAUUACUGGGCGUAAAGCGCGCGCAGGCGG